GAUGAACGCUGGCGGCGUGCCUAACACAUGCAAGUCGAACGAAGCGUCUUAAAGGAAGUUUUCGGAUGGAAUUUGGGAUGACUGAGUGGCGGACGGGUGAGUAACGCGUGGAUAACCUGCCUCAUACAGGGGGAUAACAGCUAGAAAUGGCUGCUAAUGCCGCAUAAGCGCACAGGACCGCAUGGUCUGGUGUGAAAAACUGAGGUGGUAUGAGAUGGGCCCGCGUCUGAUUAGGUAGUUGGCGGGGUAACGGCCCACCAAGCCGACGAUCAGUAGCCGACCUGAGAGGGUGACCGGCCACAUUGGGACUGAGACACGGCCCAG
This 324-nucleotide ribosomal RNA is filed under the name uncultured bacterium. RNAcentral's name for it is "bacterial SSU rRNA". It matches the Rfam family "Bacterial small subunit ribosomal RNA", at positions 28 to 334 of the family's 1533-position model. The record is from RNAcentral.